Long non-coding RNA from Vitis riparia (riverbank grape), 239 nucleotides. RefSeq lists it as uncharacterized. The record is from RefSeq and is a predicted model, not a curated record. Lineage: Eukaryota; Viridiplantae; Streptophyta; Magnoliopsida; Vitales; Vitaceae. The transcript has 3 exons.
UUCUAUACUAGACAUGUAUUGCAGGUGUAGUUGUUUCUCUGAAGCAAAUAGAUAUUUCUAUGAAAUGAAUCAAAGGGAUUUGAUCACAUGGAACACCUUGAUCGCGGGAUAUGAAAGAUCCAAUCCAACUGAGACAUCAAGAAACUUGUUGACUGGCUUGCCAGAGAAUAUUGGAAGGCUUUCACGUCUCAUUCGUCUUGACUUUCAUCAGAACAGAAUUUCAUCAACACCAGCAUCAA